UACGUAGGUGGCGAGCGUUGUCCGGAUUUACUGGGCGUAAAGAGCGCGCAGGCGGCUGGUCAAGUCCGAUGUGAAAGCUCCCGGCUUAACUGGGAAAUUGCAUCGGAAACUGAUCGGCUGGAAGGUGGGAGAGGGUAGCGGAAUUCCCGGUGUAGUGGUGAAAUGCGUAGAUAUCGGGAGGAACACCAGUGGCGAAGGCGGUGCUCUGGGCCGGAACUGACGCUGAGGAGCGAAAGCGUGGGGAGCAAACAGG
RNAcentral lists this ribosomal RNA (253 nucleotides) under uncultured bacterium. RNAcentral describes it as "partial 16S ribosomal RNA". It matches the Rfam family "Bacterial small subunit ribosomal RNA", at positions 524 to 776 of the family's 1533-position model. The record is from RNAcentral.